UGACCUCAAAUCAGGUAGGACUACCCGCUGAACUUAAGCAUAUCAAUAAGCGGAGGAAAAGAAACUAACAAGGAUUCCCCUAGUAACUGCGAGUGAAGCGGGAAAAGCUCAAAUUUAAAAUCUGGCGGUCUUUUGGUCGUCCGAGUUGUAAUCUAGAGAAGUGUUAUCCGCGCUGGACCAUGUACAAGUCUCCUGGAAUGGAGCAUCAUAGAGGGUGAGAAUCCCGUCUUUGACAUGGACUGCCAGGGCUUUGUGAUGCGCUCUCAAAGAGUCGAGUUGUUUGGGAAUGCAGCUCAAAAUGGGUGGUAAAUUCCAUCUAAAGCUAAAUAUUGGCGAGAGACCGAUAGCGAACAAGUACCGUGAGGGAAAGAUGAAAAGAACUUUGGAAAGAGAGUUAAACAGUACGUGAAAUUGCUGAAAGGGAAACGCUUGAAGUCAGUCACGUUGACCAGGGAUCAACCCAGCUUUUGCUUGGUGCACUUCCUGGUUUGACGGGUCAGCAUCAGUUUUGACCAUUGGAAAAAGAUGAAGGGAAUGUGGCAUCUUUGGAUGUGUUUAUAGCCCUUGGUCACAUACAGUGGUUGGGAUUGAGGAACUCGGCAUGCCGCAAGGAUGUGCUUAGGA
This 624-nucleotide ribosomal RNA is filed under the name Cortinarius clarobrunneus. RNAcentral's name for it is "eukaryotic LSU rRNA". It matches the Rfam family "Eukaryotic large subunit ribosomal RNA", at positions 1 to 617 of the family's 3401-position model. The record is from RNAcentral. Lineage: Eukaryota; Fungi; Basidiomycota; Agaricomycetes; Agaricales; Cortinariaceae.